Molecule: long non-coding RNA, 5927 nt
Organism: Amphibalanus amphitrite
Lineage: Eukaryota; Metazoa; Arthropoda; Thecostraca; Balanomorpha; Balanidae
Exons: 3
Source: RefSeq, a predicted model, not a curated record
UCUGGCAAUUAUGGUACUAUAGCACGUUGCUGAUGGAAGGCGGUCAAGAAAAAGAUUAUUUGCAGUUGUGCCUCAUCGUCACUUAUUUGCCAAAUGAAAUUUUAAUUGCUGCUGUUAUCCCCGGCUAUAGUGUCUACGGUGGCGAGCUUUCUCCGCGGACCUUCAACUUCAAGACCUUCUACUUCAAGACCUUCAACUUCUAAACAACUAAAGGGAUAUUCUCGUCAUACUGCACUGUCCAUGACGUGCAUGUCGGGUCAUCGACAUGCAUGUUCAAUACCAUUAGUGCACAUGCUGCACCAGACUAUAUUUACGGACGUUGACUGUUUGCUUUAGGCACUGUUUCAAGCAUUGUACGAUGGCCGAUAACAAAAGUAUUUGUUAACGUUUUCAAGUUCCAUUCGGAGUAUCCGAAACUACGACGCAAUGUUAGUCGGAACUAACGUAUCUGGUUAAUCAUGUUAUCGCAUGAUGUUCUUGCUCAUUGGCAAACAUUAUUUCAGCAGUCGAUACGUCCUCCAAACUUCAGUAACUGUUACUAUAUAGUCCCCGUUCGUCACAAACGACCGUUGACAUUUUGUCAACCUCAAAUUCGAAUAUAUUAACCGUUUACACGCACGAGAAUAUCCCUUUAUCCAAACUAGCAAGUGUGUCUACUGUUUUCUUACUAGUCAAACAAAAGUUUGUCACAGCAUGUGCGCAGUUCACUUUACCUAUGUGCAUUCAUACUAAAAGCCAUUCGUCUACAAGCAAGUUAUUUAUUUGCGCUAUUGACGUAAGCUUUCAUGAAGGCCAAACCAAUGCUGAUUCGUCAAUGCUGAUUGUCAGCUUGAAAGUAAAGAUGAGCAAAGUGGUUCAACUGAAUCUUAUGGUUGCAGUAGGGCAUAUUAGAAGUAAGUGACAAGUAUGUGUCAGCAAUUGUUUAUGCUUCUUAACCCUAGAUACUUUUGAUUCAAUCCUUUUGGUGAUGACGUAAUGUGGCAGAAAACAGUAGACACACUUCAUCUCAUCGGAAACCCUGAAUGAUUGGUAUUUGUGAGCAUGUGUGCCUGUGAGUGUGUAAGGGUGGAUGUGGGUGUGUGGGUAUGUAUGUGCGUAUGUGAGGGUGUGCGUGUCAUCUUACACGUAAUUUAGUGAAUGAGUGAAUUGGUACUAGUUUUCAAGUAAAUACGUGCAUGAGUGCGUGUAGUCAGUGGUGUAUGGAACUAGCAUUGUGCCUGCCUGCUGCCAACGAAAUAUGCAAGCCCACACAGAGAAAACAGUUUUAUUGUGCAAAACUACAUGCUGCUGGCAGGGUUUACAUGCAAGUCACAUAUUGCAGGUCUACCAUAAGCAGAGCGAUGUGACAUCUGAUAAGUACCUAACUCACAGCAACACAUACUCUGCAUGUCCAGGGAAAGUGAGUUGUGCUCGGAACAGAUUGGCCAGACAGUUUUGUCCUAUCAAAUUCAGAAUUGUUUCAUCCUCCUCACAGUUGCCAUUAACAUCAUGAGCACACAUUAUUGCUAGAUCUGAAUGCCAGCUGCCUAUUGCACCGCUGGCACGUAGUUUGAGACAAAGAUGCCGCCAGUUUUCCACCUCGCUGCUGAUACAAUGCAAUACUGCUACAAAAUGUCCGUGUUCUGUGUUUUUAGUGUUGUAUGUUUGUAUAUGAGUCUUGCGUCGUGUGAACAUUACCUACAUGAGUUAAAGUGUUCCCGCGAAAGUAGGUACUGAAUUAGCUCAAGCCAGGAUUGCGUUGCGGAUAUAUUUGUAGGCCAUACAAUGUUUUAUGGCGUCAUUUACGACAUUUCCUGUUUUUCUUGUCGUUGUAUGCACGUGAGUUGUGCCGCAUGUUGCGCUUGUAAAUCAUGUUCUCAAUGUCAUUUUCUUUUGGUACAAUUGGUCACCACUACACAUCACUCGCAUACACUCGCCCAAGCAAGUCGGAUAUCAAUCACUGUCCAGAAGUGCAUGAUGCAUUCAACCACGCAUAGAACACUGGCACACCAAGAACAUGAACUCACGCAAAAACGAGAGGGCUAUCACACGACUUCGCAUUGGACACACCGCUAUCACACACAACUACAUCAUCACAAGAAGCCCGAGACCGAAAUGCAACACCUGCAACACUUUCAUCACUGUCAAACAUCUGCUACUCACAUGCCCACAAUACCAACACCACAGGACACACAUACAAACAUACUGCAGAGACGCCAACAUCCCACUAACACUCACAACACUGCUCGGGGACUUACACCCCGAGCUAACAACACUACUCAUCCACUAAAGACACAACACUGGGCUGAUCAAUGACCUGUAAAUCUCCUCCCCUAGAGCCAAGGACAAAAAAGCCAAAAAAGCCAAAAAAAGAAGCAAAAAAGAAAAAACAAUAUUCAAAACAAUGAGAAUCAAAAUAAAAGACCCCAGAAUGGCAAAAUGGCAAAAAAAAAACAAAAACAAAAAAAAAAUAAUAGAAGGGGCAAUCCGGCUACCCGGGAGGAGAUAGCUAGGAACCCAGUCCCACCCCUCAGCCCACCCUUACGAGCCAAGAAGACAACGGACACUUCAAGGCAACGGACGGACCAACAACGAAGACGGACGACAGAACCGGGCCCAAAUACAGGACGCUGUGGUGGCCCGUAAGCUACAAAUACCAUACCAUACCAUACCAGUGCAUCAUGCAUCAGAAUAAGCUUCAUUGAACACACUCGUCAUCAUGAACGGCAUCUAGGAGUUUCAUGAGUUUGGAUCUGUGACCAGCUGAUUUCGCAGUAUCCAAUGGCAACCGUGUAUGACCAGGCGCCGCUUGGACGCCUUGUCCAGUCACGUCUUCUGGGACUGUGUGAUGACUGCCUCUGCAUUCUCAAGUGCCAGUUUCUGCCUCCGGCCCAUUUCAUUAUCAAAGGAUGCUGUUAGCUUAACGAACAGCUCUGCUCCAAGAUUCCAAACGGUUUUACGGUACUGUAUGCCUACAAAACGUUAAUAUUUUUUGGAGGCGGUAAUACUCGGAUGAACUGACCUUUAUGGGUGGGUAUUCAACGUUGAAUAAAGUAGGCUUGUAGCCCUCUGCCUAUUGACUUCUAAGGGUUUUAGUAAUAUUUAUCGAAUAUCUCAUCUGAUAUGCAUUUUCACUCACAGUCGUCGAAAUCGAAAAAUCAUAAGCUUAGAAAUCCGCGGACUUGACAUAUUAUAUUUUAUCGACGAUUCGUUUCGACUUGCUGUCAUGUCAGCUAAUCAUCCGUUGCUUCUCCUAUUUUCACAGGUGCAUUACCUGUCAUCUUUACCGUCGAUACCGUUGAAGAUUUUACCGUCGAUCACGGAGCACCCAUUGCGCUGGCCGUUGCUGGCACUUUUUUAUUUGUCACUAGCUAUUAGUUAUCUGCAGAUAUACAUUAGCCACCUGUACACCCACUUACACUAGCUCUCAUCAUCUAGUUCUACGUAUGUGUGUGUUUGUUUUAAUUGUAUUGCCAAUGAAUUCGGUAGACAUGCUCCGCCCGCAAACAUGUACCACAUGAUGCAGUCCACUGAAUGUAGCAGUUAAUCACUCGUAAAAAGCAGUCAGGUUUUCGUAUAGUGUAGGUUUGCAUCUAUGUAAGCAUGUGUUCACACUCAUGAGCGAUCGACACAUGAUAUUGCAUUUCCUGUUUAGUUACAUUUUUAGCACUGGAACACGAUGCUCAUAUACUGCGUUGUUAUCUUUCUUUUUUUUUCGCCUGCUCCUUCCUCCAACUUGUGUCUUUGAGUAUUUCAGUCACAUGCUCAAACGUUCUUUAAUGCUCUCGCCAUCGGUUUACGCAUGCGUUGAAAACCCUUGUGUUGACCAAAUUGAACAAUAUGCGGACAAUGGAUCGACUUCUUGAAGCCUGUGGACGUGAUACACGUUCUCCAUCACCAUCAAGAGAUCAACAUUUUCGAAGACACUUGCGUACGGCUGGUAUGUAUUCAUAUUUGAAUGUCCAUUGUCAACACGUUGCAGAAUGCUUUACAUUUUGUGUGAUCAUUUACUGUCCUCAUUCCUAUACACAAUGCCAACAUGUUUGUCAUCGUCUUCAUGUACCUAUCUAUUGGGAUUGAUGUUUGCGUUUACUGACAGACACUUGUCAACAUUUUCAGUAUAGUGUCCGGCGCAAUGCUGAAUGCGACCUGUUAUCUGUUGGAUCUACUCUGUGAGCCAGAACCCCAGUGCAAUGGCACUGUUCGACUAUAGCGCUGGACGUCGUCUACUUUUUGCUAGAAGCAAAUGUUAUCAUCCGUCCAUGAACUUCGGUCUGCUCACAACUAUAUUGCCUUGGCAAGUUCUUUGAGCACUUAAUACUGGACUUGGGCUGCGAAAGCUAAUGACAAUUAGGGGAGCUUGAUAUUGCAAUGGCUAUGAUGUGAAGGUCCAAUAUGGCGAACAGCUCGACUAUUCACCAUUGUCAACUGUCAACGCUUAUGAUAGCUAAAUAUCAUUUUGCUUGGUGUACAUUCACGUCUCGUUUCCUUGCUCGAUUUGUACCUCACCGGUCUUCCGUCCCCACAGGCUUCGGCUGCAGCACAAGCCACAUUCAUCGGCCCAAUCAUCAGUUAUUCAUCCUGCAAGUUUUAAGUCACUUCGUUGUGACCCGGACAUCGUCAUCUUUCAACGACUUCAAAUGACUAUUUCAUUCAUCAUCGUCGAUCAGACUCAUCAUAAUGCUAUCUGCCAUCUACGUUUGUGAAUUGUGCAGGAAGUAAAUAUCAGGUUGUUAUUAGCUGCGGGCUACUCAGUACCGACUGAACUACUGGCAGUAGUGUGCGAGCACCUAAUACUUGUAUUGUGAUACCAAAGCUAAAACGGAUGAUAGCUUAGCGCAUAGCGCCCUACCGCUUUCCACACACACAUAAACAAAACUUGACUUAUCAGCACCAUGGCAGGAUAAACAGGCAGUUUCGCUGUUUUUCACUGCUUUCAUUGGCAGGUGUUACUGCUCAUUCCCGUUUCAUGUGAUGUUAGAACAGCCCUUCACCAUAGUCCUGUUUUCUCCUUUGCCGUUUUCCAUAGACAUCAGAUUCGACAUGCACUCCAACGAUCGGUCAGGCGCAUCACCAUCAAUCCGGUCGCCUGUUCGUUAUCACCGUCAGUCUUCGACAUCUGUCAACACACUUAUCCACAUUAUCGCCUUACUUUUGAUCUUAUCAAUAUGCAAGAAUGAGUGCAAAAUGCAUUCCAAUAUUGCAUCAGUUGAUGUUGUAUCGCAAUGACACCGCGUCCUCACCUCACAUCUGUUGUGCAUACUUGUUCACGAAUGCCAGUUGUUAUACGCAGAUUCGCAUGGUGAAGUUUUACUCCGUUGACGUUUUCUUUCCAUUCUUGUAGUCGAUCAAGAGGGAUUACAGUUGCACAUGCGGCCUUACACAUGCGUCCUUACAUGUUAGCUGAUUGAUAUGUUGGACACAUUGGUUCCUGUGACUCCAAGUAGUUCUGCAUUGGUAUUGCUUCACUUUAUAUGUUCUACCCAAAGAUCGUUUCUAGUUUUGUCUUAGCUUGCAGCUGUAUGCCAUGAACAUACAGGGUACUGCGCAUCUUUAUCGUGACAUUUCUGUAGUUUCGUCGCUUUCGCGGAUGAUUAGGACCAUGAGCUCAGUUGCAGAUGCGUCCAGCAGCCACCGACAUUUAUACACUUUAAAUUCCUAGUUUAGGUUCUUAUCCACAUACCAACAUGAUUUGAACAUUUCACACGUUUAGUGAUGAAAUGAACAGGUAUCAUCUACUACAUUAUAUUUUCAUGUAAAACACACACCAGUCUGUGAAAAAGAAAACCAUUAGGAGCAACAAUCAUGCCUUAGACAGUAUAGUUGCCAUAGAUAUUACGUUGUGCAGCGGGCAGGCCGGUGCACGAAAUGGCGAGUGUGAAUGCAGGAAUGCGUGUGAAAACUGCCUAGGUGUGGAGUGGCUGGUUUGUCUUCCGUUACAUCGUAAC